Molecule: transfer-messenger RNA, 380 nt
Filed under: Terriglobia
Lineage: Bacteria; Pseudomonadati; Acidobacteriota
Also listed under: 1 other name
Description: Gp13-AA74 sp003224695 Standard tmRNA
Rfam family: transfer-messenger RNA
About the family: Bacterial tmRNA, also known as 10Sa RNA or SsrA, is named for its dual tRNA and mRNA-like properties.
Source: RNAcentral
GGGGGCGUACCGGUUUCGACGGAAGCAUUUGUGCUUAGGAGGCAUGCCGGGGGACCACACCACCCGCAAUCGGCGUGGAACAACACAACUGCCAAUGCGCAGUAUGCUUACGCUGCCUAAUUAAAGGCGGCGCGUCUCCUCCGCUCAGCCCGUGGGGCGGAAAGGGAUGUCAUCAUAGCGGGCUGGCCCGGAGCUAGCUGCCUGGGGGCUUGGGGCGAGAGGCCGUUCGUCGUUUGACGGGCGGUUAUCAGGCUAGCCGGCGCCCCGUUAUUGCGCGCUCCUGAGGGACGCUGGCGAAAUCAGUAGCGAACGCGCUACGCAUGUAGUCUCCUGACCGCAGGGCUUUUCGGACGGGGGUUCGACUCCCCCCGCCUCCAACU